Humulus lupulus (European hop) is the source of this 579-nucleotide long non-coding RNA. RefSeq lists it as uncharacterized. NCBI's taxonomy places the organism in Eukaryota, Viridiplantae, Streptophyta, Magnoliopsida, Rosales, Cannabaceae. The record is from RefSeq and is a predicted model, not a curated record. The transcript is spliced from 2 exons.
ACAACACUCUCUCUCUCUCUCUCUCUCUCUCUCUCUCUCUCUCUCUCUCACUCUAAUCUGCUCUCUCUCCCUCUCUUGGUGGCUUAGAGGGUUUUUGGAAAAUUUGAAGGAAAAGCUCAGAAUUUGGGGCUAGGAGUUGAGGAUUUGAAGCUGGAGGUGUUGGGGAUUUAGCUCUGGGUCCGAUUUGAGGAAUAUAUACAACAGAACCGUCAUGGAUACCAUUUCACUAUAAGAGUUGCGCCUUCUACCCUUGUUGGCUUUGUGACUUUGUUAAUUCAACAGAACCAUCAUAUUUCUUCACACCUUCACUCCAUGCUAUGGAGUUGGAUUCCGUUCUUGUUUUGAAUUUAAUUCAAAUGGAUUCUUCCUUUGCAGGCAAAAGGGGGUGGGAAGGAAUCUUGUGGAUUUUUUAUUUCUUUUUAAUUUAGAAAGAGCUCAAGCUAUACUACAAGACUUCUGAAGCUACUUUGUAUUGUUAUCUAAGAAUUUAUCUUGUAAUAUGAAUUUGCAAGGCUAGAAUAGCUAGAUUAGCCUGAAUAUUUAUACUUUUAUUCAAGUUAAUAAAAUUCAUUUAUAUUA